This 73-nucleotide transfer RNA is filed under the name Neotoma lepida (desert woodrat). It matches the Rfam family "tRNA". From Rfam's summary of the family: Transfer RNA (tRNA) molecules are approximately 80 nucleotides in length. Their secondary structure includes four short double-helical elements and three loops (D, anti-codon, and T loops). The record is from Rfam by way of RNAcentral. Lineage: Eukaryota; Metazoa; Chordata; Mammalia; Rodentia; Cricetidae.
GGAGAGAUGGCUUAGUGGUUAAGAGCACUGGCUGCUCUUCCAGAGGACCCAGGUUCGAUUCCUAGUACCUACA